GUUUUGGUCCUGAUGGACGCAGCCUCCUGCCAGAUGGAAUGUCAGGGUUAACUGAAGAAAAACAAUCUGCUAGGGAAGACAUCAGAGAAAACACAUAAUCUUUGAAUUAAUUUCUUAAGACCAACCGGAAUAAUAGAGAGAAUUUAGUUGUGUUUUUAUUUUGUAUUAUUUGUAUACCAAUUUACUGCUCCACACUCCAGUCCAGUAGGUGGUGAUAAUGCACCAAAUCGUUGGUUGGCAACCGUCAAAGAAGAAGAAGAAGAAGAAGAAGAAGAAGAAGUUUGACAACCAAGAGAACUUGUUACUCGCUCCGCUCUCUCAACGCGGAAACAGACAGUAGCUGUGAUGCCCAACUGUAUCCACAGAUUUUAGAUUUCGAUCACCUCGACCGAGCAACAGAGAGACGGACAAUAACUUUCUAACGGUGGUGAUUCUACAACUGCAGGAUGCAGCCGGUUGAAGCACAAACAGGCCUGGGCAGUAUCAUAGAAUGUGUGAAGGCGGGUACACACAACAGAGAAGUAUUAUACCUAUGUGAGGUAUGUGUCUGUCGACUUAGUAAAGCUGACAUGCGAAACCAUAUUAUGGGAAGUCUCCACAGAUACAACUACAUUAAAGCCUGGUACCCCCACUUAUUGUCUGAAUGGAAGGAGAAGUCAGACCUGUCUAAGCUGGCCUGGCCAUUGAUGGACAUGGCCAAAAUACUUGAGGGAAAAGAGGGACCGGGGGAUAUCCAGUGGUUAGAUUUGGAAGACGCUGUCUACCAGACGAUCGCAACACUCCGUGAGAAUGACGCAGUAACCCUGAUAACUAUCUUCAGAGAGCUACAGGGUAAAGCUGAAAGCCAUUCAGAGACCCCAUCUGUGCAGCUGGAGCACCAUUCCACCCAAUCGCAGAGGGUUGUAUUGCUGUCCGAGGACCAACAAAGACAGUCCAAAAACUCCCUCGAGACCUCAGCAGUGCCAGAGACUAAACAAACUGUAGCUUUUGUAGCAGAACACACUGUGCUAUCCGAAAACAGUUGUCUUGAUGGCUACACAGGAUCCAAUCCUCUUAUUGGUCUUUUCCGCGUCGUUGAAUGUAGAAGUGAAGAUGGCCGCACAUACUGUUUCUUAUGUCACUGCUGCCGCAUCAGAGCCAACGAAAAGGACAUCAUUGAUCACCUAACCAGAUCUUCCCAUAUCGUGAACUACUUGAUGGAAACUCAUCCUGAGCAGGUGGAGGUAAUGAUGGCAGAUAUUAAUGACAACUAUAAGCUUCUCCAAUCACUGGCCAGGAAAGUGGAGCAAGAGGAGGGCAGAGGAGAGCUGAAGGUGGUAAACGCACCAGAAUCCCUCGGUAUCCAACUGACUGGCAAAAGUUACCACUGGUGUGUAAAGAUGCUUUGUAAUGGAUGGACAUGUACUAACACCCAAAAGCAGAAAAUAGCUGUCAAAGGGCCAAAUGUAAACAAGACCUCAGAUCGAGGCAUGCCGGAGAAAUGUGCCGGGCUGCUGUCACAAUGGCCAAAAAGGAUGACGGCAAAGAGGAAAAUGACCAAUCCUGUGUUCAAGGUAAGCCUGCCUCUUUCCAAAGGUGCAAUGCUGCUGGAGAGGAGCUCUUUCAGCGUGGACAGCAUCCCUCUGUCAUCUGCAUACUCUCCUUCAUCUGACUCCGAUCUUCCAGAGUCUCCAGAGUUACAGUCAGAGGACUGUGAGUUGGACUAUGACACUGGAUCAUUUGAAAAUACCCGAGCUGAACAAUCCUCACAACUUCAGCAAGAUGUCUACAGUGGAGAUGCAGAGGCCGAUCAAUACAUGGAAGCAGAAGGACACGGCACAGUCACUCCGUAUCUAGAGGUGGAUGAAUAUUUCAAUGACUAUGAAUACGUCAACCACUUGGAAGACAUAACUGGAACAAAAUACCAAAAGGUUUAUGGGGGAAAUUAUUACAACGGACAACACGGUUCUCAAGUAAGAUCUAGUAAGAGGUUGUACAAAGAGUAA
This is a long non-coding RNA of Cottoperca gobio, 1985 nucleotides long. Ensembl lists it as uncharacterized. The record is from Ensembl. NCBI's taxonomy places the organism in Eukaryota, Metazoa, Chordata, Actinopteri, Perciformes, Bovichtidae.